UACGGAGGGUGCAAGCGUUGUUCGGAAUCAUUGGGCGUAAAGCGCGCGUAGGCGGAUCAUCAAGUCGGGGGUGAAAUCCCGGGGCUCAACCCCGGAACGGCCUUCGAGACUGGUGGUCUUGAGUUCGAGAGAGGUGGGUGGAAUUCCGAGUGUAGAGGUGAAAUUCGUAGAUAUUCGGAGGAACACCAGUGGCGAAGGCGGCCCACUGGCUCGACACUGACGCUGAGGCGCGAAAGCGUGGGGAGCAAACAGG
Molecule: ribosomal RNA, 253 nt
Filed under: uncultured bacterium
Lineage: Bacteria
Description: partial 16S ribosomal RNA
Rfam family: Bacterial small subunit ribosomal RNA
Source: RNAcentral